UUCAUAAGAUGUUAUAUUUUACAUACUCCGUUUGCAUAUUUUAUGUUGUGCCGGCAAGUGGUCAAAAUGAAUUAUGGGGCACAUAGUAUAAGAUUUCGAUUCAAGCUGCAGAAAAAAGUGCUGGCAAUUUGUAAAAGAAAAAAAAUAACGCCGGCGAAUAAUACAAUUACGGCUAAACCCAAAACGAUAAUGACCCGGUAGGACACACACAGGAGGGUUGAAUAUUAAACUGAGCGGUCCAUGCGACCAUAAAGGCAUGCCAUUGUUUAUACGAUCCAGUGGUAUAGUUUGGGUAAAAGAAUACGAAUUCUCUAGGGAAUCAACAUAAUAUAAUAUGUCACAACCCUGAUCCUGACCCCACAACCAUUGCAAUGCUCUGAGAACUGUUUAUUCUGAAAA
Cinara cedri is the source of this 399-nucleotide non-coding RNA. The record is from the annotation of a GenBank genome assembly. NCBI's taxonomy places the organism in Eukaryota, Metazoa, Arthropoda, Insecta, Hemiptera, Aphididae.